RNAcentral lists this ribosomal RNA (525 nucleotides) under uncultured bacterium. Its description in RNAcentral is "bacterial SSU rRNA". It matches the Rfam family "Bacterial small subunit ribosomal RNA", at positions 355 to 896 of the family's 1533-position model. The record is from RNAcentral.
UGGGGAAUUUUGCGCAAUGGGGGAAGCCCUGACGCAGCAACGCCGCGUGGAGGAUGAAGUCCCUUGGGACGUAAACUCCUUUCGACCGGGACGAUUAUGACGGUACCGGUGGAAGAAGCCCCGGCUAACUUCGUGCCAGCAGCCGCGGUAAUACGAGGGGGGCAAGCGUUGUUCGGAAUUAUUGGGCGUAAAGGGCGCGUAGGCGGUGCGGUAAGUCACCUGUGAAAUCUCCGGGCUUAACUCGGAGUCUGCAGGCGAAACUGCCGUGCUGGAGUAUGGGAGAGGUGCGUGGAAUUUCCGGUGUAGCGGUGAAAUGCGUAGAUAUCGGGAGGAACACCUGUGGCGAAAGCGGCGCACUGGACCAUAACUGACGCUGAGGCGCGAAAGCUAGGGGAGCAAGCAGGAUUAGAUACCCUGGUAGUCCUAGCCCUAAACGAUGGAUGCUUGGUGUGGCCGGUACCCAAUCCGGCUGUGCCGAAGCUAACGCGAUAAGCAUCCCGCCUGGGGAGUACGGUCGCAAGGCUG